This 700-nucleotide long non-coding RNA is filed under the name Helianthus annuus (common sunflower). RNAcentral describes it as "sRNA HanXRQr2_Chr10g0439431". The record is from RNAcentral. Lineage: Eukaryota; Viridiplantae; Streptophyta; Magnoliopsida; Asterales; Asteraceae.
UUCAAAUUCCAAUUUCCCUUAAAUUUCUUUAAUUUUUUGCGAACCGAACCCUUAAAAUUUUUAAGAAAUCUUUAAGUUCCGUUCCGUACCCGCUCCUUAUGAAAUUUUAUCCCUUUCAUCAUUCCCACCCACCCCCAAAUUAAUGCACCUUAACCCUAAAUCUACGCCUUAUUUCACCCCACCCAACCCAAUUGUCUGUCUUCCUCGCCUUAUUUCUUCCAAAUCACAAUCUUUUUGUUCAGGCUGUCUAGAUCGUUGACCCACUACUACCAGAUCCCUCAAUGGCGACUUCUUGACAUUUGUAGAAAUUCGAUUUGGUCUUGUGGAAGGAUUGUAAUUUGGGAGGUUAUAGUUGCAUCUGCACGUCAUUUUAGUUGUUUCUGAAAUAAUAGUUCUAGUUGUUGCUCUUGAUCUGAGGAGGUAUGAAAUCAUAUUCUGGUUCUACGAUCGAUGCUUGGAUGGUGUGUUAAAAUGAUUGGUUUUUUCAUGUCAACAUUUUUGGGCCAAAAGUUGGAACUCUUAGAUUUCAUCACAACAACCACAAACUUGCAAGAUGGUUCAAGAUACAGCUCUAGCUUUAUUAAGAAAUGAAUUCAAGAUGUUAAAGUUUUACACAUUUAUUCCUUUAUAAUUGUAGAACUUGUUUAUACUUUAAAGAAAUAUAUACCUUUGUGUUUAUAAAAUUUGUUGGUUUUAUUUG